Halichondria panicea is the source of this 1182-nucleotide RNA transcript. It is a transcript of the gene named serine/arginine-rich splicing factor 2-like, with no coding region annotated. Lineage: Eukaryota; Metazoa; Porifera; Demospongiae; Suberitida; Halichondriidae. The record is from RefSeq and is a predicted model, not a curated record. The transcript is spliced from 4 exons.
ACAUGCGCAAUCGGUAGAAACUCAAAGAAGAGCGAAGUGCUGGGUGUGCAUCUAAAAGAAAAGCUCUACUUCAAGUCCUUAGACCCUCCGUAUUAAACCUAGCUCUCCUAAAAUCCCUCCCAAAACCAUAAAGUCUCUCCAAUCAUGAGUGGAAGAUACAGGAGACGGAGCAGGAGCUACAGUCGUAGUAGGAGUCGCAGCCGAAGCCGUGAUAGAGGUCGUGACAGAGGCACAGGCCGUGACAAUUCUGAUAAUCGUGACAGUCGUCUUAGCAACCGUCGCCCUCCCAACAUUGAAGGGAUGGUCAGCUUGAAGGUGGACAACCUGUCGUACAAAAUCACUGCGGAGGAUUUGCUUCCUAUGUUUGAGAAAUUCGGAGAAGUUGGAGACAUUUAUAUCCCUCGAGAUCGCUACACAAAAGAUUCCAGAGGAUUCGCAUUUGUUAGAUUCGUUGAACGUCGUGAUGCUGAAGAUGCGAUGGACAGAAUGGAUGGGCAUGUGCUAGAAGGACGUGAAAUGAGAGUGCAGACAGCUCGCUAUGGUCGACCUGCUGAGCCCCCCCAGGUCCGCUAUGGGCGUGCGUACGUUCCUAAGGGGAGGUCUCGGUCUCGAAGCCGCUCCCCCAGAAGACGUAAGAAAUCCUAUAGCCCAGACAGGAAAAGAAGGUCUUACUCGAAGGAUUCUUCUAAGUCCCGUUCACGUUCUCCAGAGAGGAAGAGGUCCUUUUCCAAAGAUAAAAGAUCUUGUUCCCCUGACGGGAGGUCCCCUCCCAGAGACAAGAAAUCUCGAUCUCGAUCUCCUGAUUCUCGAAGUCCCUAGUUUCUCUGAGGACGCUAUGCUCAACUGUUUAUGCUGUUGCUGUUAAUUUCUAUUUGGCAGCUGGUAUGCAGUACAAUGCAGUAAUACGAUUGUGUGUUCCAUGUUAAAUCUGGUGGUUCCAGCAGCAGCUGUGUGGUGUAAAUGGUGUAUGGAGACGGCACUGUUCCCGAGGCUACCGUGAUAUCUAUUUGCGGACACUAAAUUUCUGCAUUUAAUUGUGUGUGUGUGUGCGCGUGUGUGGUUCUGGCAUUUGGCUUUAAUUUUAUUGCAUUUUGUCGUUGUGCUUGUAAUGUUUGUUGUCGUGUGUUACAUCGUCCAGUCAGAUUCCUGUUGAUGUUAGAUAAAAUAAAUAUGGACUGUUGA